Molecule: small RNA, 721 nt
Filed under: Pongo abelii (Sumatran orangutan)
Lineage: Eukaryota; Metazoa; Chordata; Mammalia; Primates; Hominidae
Description: processed transcript
Source: RNAcentral
GCGCCCCGCCCCCUCGCUAGGCGCUCGCCACGCCCAUGCCUCCGUCGCUGCGCGGCCCACCCCGGAUGUCAGCCCCCCGCACCGACCAGGAUCCGUGGACAUGGCGAACCAGGUUAUCAAGUGCAAGGCUGCAGUUGCUUGGGAGGCUGGAAAGCCACUCUCCAUAGAGGAGAUAGAGGUGGCACCCCCAAAGGCUCAUGAAGUUCGAAUCAAGAUCAUUGCCACUGCGGUUUGCCACACCGAUGCCUAUACCCUGAGCGGAGCUGAUCCUGAGGGUUGUUUUCCAGUGAUCUUGGGACAUGAAGGUGCUGGAAUUGUGGAAAGUGUUGGUGAGGGAGUUACUAAGCUGAAGGCGGGUGACACUGUCAUCCCACUUUACAUCCCACAGUGUGGAGAAUGCAAAUUUUGUCUAAAUCCUAAAACUAACCUUUGCCAGAAGAUAAGAUGAGAGAAGACUCAGAAAUUAAGAGGUUUUGACACAGAGAGGGUACCUGGGCACAGCAACGACCUUCUCUACCAUUUGUGGUUUUCUGCCUAAUUGUGCAACUGAAGAAACAUUUAUUUUUCACAUGAGGAAAUGUGUAGCUUGUAGAGGUGGCUGAUUUGAGUAAUUUGUGCAGCCCUCAAGGGGUAUCUGCAUUCUGUCUCCUCUCUAGCCCAUAAAAGAAAGAAGUGGGGGGAUGUGAAGAGACCAGGGGAGUGACUCCACCUUAUGCCUCAC